RNAcentral lists this transfer RNA (65 nucleotides) under Macrocheles glaber. RNAcentral describes it as "tRNA-Ile". Lineage: Eukaryota; Metazoa; Arthropoda; Arachnida; Mesostigmata; Macrochelidae. The record is from RNAcentral.
UGUAAUAUGCCUGAAAAAGGAUUAUUUUGAUAGAAUAAAACAUGUGUUUAUUUACACUAUUACAA